UCGGGAAUUUUGGGCAAUGGGCGAAAGCCUGACCCAGCAACGCCGCGUGAAGGAUGAAGUAUUUCGGUAUGUAAACUUCGAAAGAAUAGGAAGAAUAAAUGACGGUACUAUUUAUAAGGUCCGGCUAACUACGUGCCAGCAGCCGCGGUAAUACGUAGGGACCAAGCGUUGUUCGGAUUUACUGGGCGUAAAGGGCGCGUAGGCGGCAAUUCAAGUCAUCUGUGAAAUCUCCGGGCUUAACUCGGAACGGUCAGAUGAUACUGCUUUGCUAGAGUGCAGAAGGGGCAAUCGGAAUUCUUGGUGUAGCGGUGAAAUGCGUAGAUAUCAAGAGGAACACCUGAGGUGAAGACGGGUUGCUGGGCUGACACUGACGCUGAGGCGCGAAAGCCAGGGGAGCAAACGGGAUUAGAUACCCAGGUAGUCCCUGAG
RNAcentral lists this ribosomal RNA (429 nucleotides) under uncultured bacterium. Its description in RNAcentral is "bacterial SSU rRNA". It matches the Rfam family "Bacterial small subunit ribosomal RNA", at positions 355 to 801 of the family's 1533-position model. The record is from RNAcentral.